This 253-nucleotide ribosomal RNA is filed under the name uncultured bacterium. RNAcentral describes it as "partial 16S ribosomal RNA". It matches the Rfam family "Bacterial small subunit ribosomal RNA", at positions 524 to 776 of the family's 1533-position model. The record is from RNAcentral.
GACGAACCGAGCGAACGUUGUUCGGAAUCACUGGGCUUAAAGGGCGCGUAGGCGGGGUCGUAAGUCCGUGGUGAAAUCCUCCGGCUCAACCGGAGAACUGCCUCGGAUACUGUGGCUCUCGAGGGUGGUAGGGGUAUGCGGAACUAUCGGUGGAGCGGUGAAAUGCGUUGAUAUCGAUAGGAACUCCGGUGGCGAAGGCGGCAUACUGGACCACUUCUGACGCUGAGGCGCGAAAGCCAGGGGAGCAAACGGG